Notolabrus celidotus (New Zealand spotty) is the source of this 533-nucleotide long non-coding RNA. RefSeq lists it as uncharacterized. NCBI's taxonomy places the organism in Eukaryota, Metazoa, Chordata, Actinopteri, Labriformes, Labridae. The transcript has 3 exons. The record is from RefSeq and is a predicted model, not a curated record.
GCUCAGAGCUCAGGGCUGAGGGAGGACAUUGAGAUUGGGCCACACACUGCCACCAGCACCUCCCAUAUUGUGAAACCCAAAUGUCAGCAGAUUGGUGAUUUCUUGGUUGAGUCACAAGAACAAGACCAUGAGAUUUUCGUACGAUUAAACAAUCCCAUUGAAGUCUGGAAACCAACAAUGAUUGAUCUCACAAGCAAGUGUCGCAUGUGCAGCCAAAGCCGGAUAGAGUUUAAUUCCUCUGUGCGAUAGUGCUCCAUUGUUUUCCAAAAACUAUUAAAAAGACAUCAGUGACAGGGAGACAUGUUUCUUCAUUACAAUGGACACAGUUUAUUUCAAGCUGGCUGCGCUUACACCGUCCUCCUGCUUUCAUACUCUUUAGAAUUUAAACCUAGCUAUAAAAAGACUUCCAGAAAACACCAUGCACUCCUGUUCGAGUAUCUUUUGCCAGAACUGACAAUGUCCACUUUUACAGUGUCUUUAGGCCUUUUGAAACUUGCACCCAAAAAAAUCAAGACUUUUUGAAAGAUUUAUGU